RNAcentral lists this long non-coding RNA (271 nucleotides) under Vigna radiata. RNAcentral describes it as "long non-coding RNA (VRAD_LNC003326)". The record is from RNAcentral. Lineage: Eukaryota; Viridiplantae; Streptophyta; Magnoliopsida; Fabales; Fabaceae.
AUGUUGUUGGGGCUUUCUAAUGUAUUUUGGUGAUAAUUGACCAUGGUGAUUGACUUUUUUGCAGUUUAUAAUGGAAGAUGAUAUGAUGAAGAAUUAAUAGGAAAGGAAAAAGUGAUGGAAAUGAUUAUGGAAUUGGGUUCUUUAGGACACCAAGGAACCCUUUAACGACUAUGUCUUAUGAUCUGUCCCCUACCACAUCAUGCUGCCUCUACAACAUGCCCUACCAUCUUCACUUUUUAAUGUCAUUUCAAUUAAAAUCAUCUAUCAAUGC